RNAcentral lists this ribosomal RNA (325 nucleotides) under uncultured bacterium. Its description in RNAcentral is "bacterial SSU rRNA". It matches the Rfam family "Bacterial small subunit ribosomal RNA", at positions 28 to 334 of the family's 1533-position model. The record is from RNAcentral.
GACGAACGCUGGCGGCGUGCCUAACACAUGCAAGUCGAACGGAACUGCUUCGAAGGAUUUCUUCGGAAUGACAUUGAUUCAGUUUAGUGGCGGACGGGUGAGUAACGCGUGAGUAACCUGCCUUCAAGAGGGGGAUAACAUUCUGAAAAGAAUGCUAAUACCGCAUGACAUAUGAUUGUCGCAUGGCAGACAUAUCAAAGAUUUAUCGCUUGAAGAUGGACUCGCGUCCGAUUAGUUAGUUGGUGAGGUAACGGCCCACCAAGUCGACGAUCGGUAGCCGACCUGAGAGGGUGAUCGGCCACAUUGGAACUGAGAGACGGUCCAA